RNAcentral lists this unclassified non-coding RNA (244 nucleotides) under Melitaea cinxia (Glanville fritillary). RNAcentral describes it as "misc RNA ENSMCXG00005009482.1". Lineage: Eukaryota; Metazoa; Arthropoda; Insecta; Lepidoptera; Nymphalidae. The record is from RNAcentral.
AUACUUCGGUUAAAAACUGCAAAUAUUGAAGAUUGUAGUUAGCCUCUGCAGGAAGCCAAUUUACUGAAGAAGGCUAUUAAUUCUUCAAAUUACCACUUGUGAAAUCAAGGGGCAUAGCUAGUAAUAAAUAAGUAGAAAAUGUAUAGCUCAUGAAACAUCACCGCUUAUUACAACUAACAGUGAUGAGAAAUGACAACUGACUACUGUACUUAUAUCAAAUUUCAGAGAGGUAAAGCCACGGUAA